CGUGGGGAACCUGCCCCAUAGUCUGGGAUACCACUUGGAGACAGGUGCUAAUACCGGAUAAGAAAGCAGAUCGCAUGAUCAGCUUUUAAAAGGCGGCGUAAGCUGUCGCUAUGGGAUGGCCCCGCGGUGCAUUAGCUAGUUGGUAAGGUAAAGGCUUACCAAGGCGAUGAUGCAUAGCCGAGUUGAGAGACUGAUCGGCCACAUUGGGACUGAGACACGGCCCAAACUCCUACGGGAGGCAGCAGCC
Molecule: ribosomal RNA, 247 nt
Filed under: uncultured Lactobacillus sp.
Lineage: Bacteria; Bacillati; Bacillota; Bacilli; Lactobacillales; Lactobacillaceae
Description: partial 16S ribosomal RNA
Rfam family: Bacterial small subunit ribosomal RNA
Source: RNAcentral